Molecule: ribosomal RNA, 253 nt
Filed under: uncultured bacterium
Lineage: Bacteria
Description: partial 16S ribosomal RNA
Rfam family: Bacterial small subunit ribosomal RNA
Source: RNAcentral
UACGAAGGGGGCUAGCGUUGCUCGGAAUCGCUGGGCGUAAAGCGCACGUAGGCGGAUUGCUAAGUCAGGGGUGAAAUCCUGGAGCUCAACUCCAGAACUGCCUUUGAUACUGGCGAUCUCGAGUCCGGGAGAGGUGAGUGGAACUGCGAGUGUAGAGGUGAAAUUCGUAGAUAUUCGCAAGAACACCAGUGGCGAAGGCGGCUCACUGGCCCGGUACUGACGCUGAGGUGCGAAAGCGUGGGGAGCAAACAGG